CCCCUUGUCUCGCUCCCACCCACAGACGCCGCCGCUGCCCCAACCCAAACCAUCUCCCUCCCACCUCGAUGCGCUAUCACACCCACCGUCGACGACCCGCGACAGCGGUAGUGGGCUCGCGACCCAGAUCACAAGGACGUCCCCUUCCUCCCGAUCUCAUCAUGCUCCUCUCCAUCCCGUCCUCUUCCUCCCCGCAGCGGAACCUUGGUUUUGACCCGUCUCGUUGCUGUGUGCAGAAGUCCGGGAGGCAUGGGGCCGGGGACGUGUGCCAGAUCUGCCCCGACGGGCUGGGCACAACGAUGGACGGCGAGGUCCUCACCGCCUUCGACGUCUGCCGCUUCCCGGUCUACGUGCACGAGCGCAAGGAGGGCACCCAGGCCUGCCUCUAGCGCUUCUGCCAGCUCGACCGCAGCACAAAGUGCUUCUGCCUGCUCUGCCCCCGGCCGCCCCGGGCCGCCGCACGUGUCGACGAAGCAGGAACACAGAGUUGCGGAGAGCAGCAGCUCGCAAUCGUGGUCAGGGACCGACCGUCCGAGAGUAGACCGUGGAGACGUGGAGUUCAGUCCAGGCAGUUCCUUUCACGUAGAUUUUGCUCGUUGUGGCAUUGCUUGAAUUUGGGUUAUUGGAUAGCUGGAGCUGCGUAGGAUUUCUUCUAAUUUACUACAAGAGACGAAGACCACGCUUCAUGAAUUCAGGGCGCCCCCGAGGUGGUCAUGUGGGAUCCUCUCGAAUAGCUCGUGCUCGCUGUCGACUUCGCUGGCAGGGUCACCCGCUCCAUCGGCCCCCUCUCUGGCGGGAUGUACUACUCGGAUUUCAUCCCCUACGUCAACUCAUACACAGAGAUCUACAUUGAUGAGCAUUUAUGUGUAUUGCUAUUUGCCUCUGGUGACAUGUGAGAAGCACUCGUCUAUAUGUUUAUAUUUUGAGCAGCUGGGUACAACUACAGUUGCAAAAUCAUCCAGCCAAAUUUUGGGAGGAUGGCAUAAAAGAUUACAUAACCCAUGCUUUUGAAAUCAUGGUAUUCUAUUUAUGCUCCAUUCCGAAAUCUAUUGUGCACUGCCAAGUCCAUGAGGCGAAGCGCUCACUGCUCGACUAUUUCUUUACUGAACUGGGAGCAACAAAGGCAAGA
Triticum dicoccoides is the source of this 1129-nucleotide long non-coding RNA. RefSeq lists it as uncharacterized. The record is from RefSeq and is a predicted model, not a curated record. The transcript is spliced from 6 exons. Lineage: Eukaryota; Viridiplantae; Streptophyta; Magnoliopsida; Poales; Poaceae.